CUCACGCAGGGCGCCUGUAGCUCAGGGGCAGGCCCAAGCCCUGCGCCCGAAGAGUCAGUCCAGCCCCUGACGGGGCUUCCCAUCCCAAGGGGCUUCGCACUGGCCCCCACCGAGGCAGGGGACCGGACCGGACCAGAGCUCGGCUGGAUGUUACAGGCGUGCAAA
This is a non-coding RNA of Myotis davidii, 165 nucleotides long. Lineage: Eukaryota; Metazoa; Chordata; Mammalia; Chiroptera; Vespertilionidae. The record is from Rfam.